This 1487-nucleotide ribosomal RNA is filed under the name uncultured prokaryote. RNAcentral's name for it is "partial 16S ribosomal RNA". It matches the Rfam family "Bacterial small subunit ribosomal RNA". The record is from RNAcentral.
GAGUUUGAUCCUGGCUCAGAACGAACGCUGGCGGCAGGCCUAACACAUGCAAGUCGAGCGCAUCCUUCGGGAUGAGCGGCGGACGGGUUAGUAACGCGUGGGAAUCUACCCAGUAGUGGGGGACAACUUGGGGAAACUCAAGCUAAUACCGCAUACGCCCUACGGGGGAAAGCGGGGGACCUUCGGGCCUCACGCUACUGGAUGAGCCCAUGUCAGAUUAGAUAGUUGGUAGGGUAAUGGCCUACCAUGGCGACGAUCUCUAGCUGGUCUGAGAGGAUGAUCAGCCACACUGGGACUGAGACACGGCCCAGACUCCUACGGGAGGCAGCAGUGGGGAAUAUUGCACAAUGGGCGCAAGCCUGAUGCAGCCAUGCCGCGUGUGUGAAGAAGGCUUUCGGGUUGUAAAGCACUUUCAGUGGGGAGGAACAGGUAGCGGUUAAUAACCGUUACCCUUGACGUUACCCACAGAAGAAGCACCGGCUAACUCCGUGCCAGCAGCCGCGGUAAUACGGAGGGUGCGAGCGUUAAUCGGAAUUACUGGGCGUAAAGCGCGCGUAGGCGGCCUGAUAAGUUGGAUGUGAAAGCCCUGGGCUCAACCUAGGAACUGCAUUCAAAACUGUCAGGCUAGUGUAUGGUAGAGGAUAGUGGAAUUUCCGGUGUAGCGGUGAAAUGCGUAGAGAUCGGAACGAACAUCAGUGGCGAAGGCGGCUCUCUGGACCAAUACUGACGCUGAGGUGCGAAAGCGUGGGUAGCAAACGGGAUUAGAUACCCCGGUAGUCCACGCCGUAAACGAUGUCAACUAACUGUUGGGCGGGUUUCCGCUUAGUGGGGCAGCUAACGCAAUAUAAGUUCUCCGCCUGGGGAGUACGCCGGCAACGGUAAAACUCAAAGGAAUUGACGGGGGCCGGCACAAGCGGUGGAGCAUGUGGUUUAAUUCGAUGCAACGCGAAGAGCCUUACCUCCCCUUGACAUACAGAGAGCUUUCCAGAGAUGGAUUCGUGCCUUCGGGAACUCAGUGACAGGUGCUGCAUGGCUGUCGUCAGCUCGUGUCGUGAGAUGUUGGGUUAAGUCCCGCAACGAGCGCAACCCUUGUCCUUAGUUGCCAGCACGUAAUGGUGGGAACUCUAAGGAGACUGCCGGUGACAAACCGGAGGAAGGUGGGGACGACGUCAAGUCAUCAUGGCCCUUAUGGGCUGGGCUACACACGUGCUACAAUGGGCAGUACAGAGGGUCGCAAUCCCGCGAGGGGGAGCUAAUCCCACAAAGCUGUUCUUAGUCCGGAUUGGAGUCUGCAACUCGACUCCAUGAAGUUGGAAUCGCUAGUAAUCGUAGAUCAGCACUGCUACGGUGAAUACGUUCCCGGGCCUUGUACACACCGCCCGUCACACCAUGGGAGUGGGUUGCAAAAGAAGUAAGUAGCUUAACCUUCGGGAGGGCGCUUACCACUUUGUGAUUCAUGAGGGGGGUAAAGUCGUAACAAGGUAACC